GAUGAACGCUGGCGGCGUGCUUAACACAUGCAAGUCGAACGAAGAUGCCGGAGUGCUUGCACUUUGGCAGACUGAGUGGCGGACGGGUGAGUAACGCGUGGGUAACCUGCCUUAUACAGGGGGAUAACAGUUGGAAACGACUGCUAAUACCGCAUGACGCAUUUUGAUCGCAUGGUAUGGUGUGAAAAACUCCGGUGGUGUGAGAUGGACCCGCGUCUGAUUAGCUAGUUGGCAGGGCAACGGCCUACCAAGGCGACGAUCAGUAGCCGACCUGAGAGGGUGACCGGCCACGAUUGGGACUGAGACACGGGCCCAAACUCCUAACGGGAGCAGCAGUGGGAAUAUUGCACAAUGGGGAAACCCUGAUGCAGCGA
Molecule: ribosomal RNA, 374 nt
Filed under: uncultured bacterium
Lineage: Bacteria
Description: bacterial SSU rRNA
Rfam family: Bacterial small subunit ribosomal RNA
Source: RNAcentral